Molecule: long non-coding RNA, 1078 nt
Filed under: Homo sapiens (human)
Lineage: Eukaryota; Metazoa; Chordata; Mammalia; Primates; Hominidae
Description: HSALNT0385269
Source: RNAcentral
GUCUGGCAUCGCGGCGCCUCCCUUGCUGCCCCGGGCCUGCUCUGGAGAUGCCAGUGCUGUCCCAGCCCCGCAGCGCGGCCUCAGCCUCCGGCCCGGCGCAUCGGCCGCACCACCUGCGCCCUGGACCCCGCCGCCCCAACCUGGCCCCAGAUGCUGAAGCCCGCAGCCGUCGGGAGCAUGGACCGGCCCCGAGGUGCGCGGGACGCAGGGGGCGCGCGCAGUCCGCCCUUCCUACCCGCAACCUCCCUCGCCUCUGCCAGCCCCGCAGGCGCUCCGGGCCUCCAGCUGCGGUCGCCGCUGCUCCAGCUGCGCGUGGCUUCCGGGAACCUCCUCCUCCGCGCCCGUCGUUGCAAAAUUGGAGAGAGGAAAAAGUGGCUUAAAAAAAUAGUUGCGGCCCCUUUAAGGCCUGUCGGCUUCCUUUCCCUUUUCCUCCCUCCGCCCCUCUCCCUUGGCUCGUACCAAAGCGCAGAGGAGGAGAGGGAGGAAGGAACCAUUAACGUCAAGCAAAGUUAGAAACGGAAAAGGAAAGGGGGGAUGGCGUCCACUCCGAUGGGGAAUGAGGGGGAGAAGAAGAGCAGCUGGCCAUCUCAAGCUGCACCCUCCUUGAGAGGAGGUCCGGCUUCGUUAUCUCGUUCUGAGGAAUACCUGUCCCAGAUCAGUGCAGAACUCAUGGAGGAGGCUUUGUGCACUGCUUGCUGCCACUUGAACCCUGUGCCCAUCAAAAAAAAGCAGUCACAAGACCAAGCGACUCAGAUAUCCAAACGCGCAUUCUUCACCAAGACCUGAGGCACAGACACCUGGUGAGUGAGGCUUCAAGGGAGAUGCUCUUUGUCCUGGGAGAGAGAAACCGUACCUGCAGCAAGGCAUACCUCCUGCCAACUCCUGGUGAAAAGAACAUGCCUCAAAACUACUCUUUUGCCACUCGUUAACCACUUCCGUUUGUGGGGACCUCCUGGUCAUGAGCAGCAUCAUCCCGAAGCCUUCAAAGUGUUCUGGAUUCAUCACAGGACCCUCCAGCCUCAGCCAGCAAGGAUACCACCAGGAAUGAAAGUGCUUUAAUAAAGAGACAGGGUGUGCA